RNAcentral lists this ribosomal RNA (472 nucleotides) under uncultured bacterium. RNAcentral describes it as "SSU rRNA". It matches the Rfam family "Bacterial small subunit ribosomal RNA", at positions 26 to 518 of the family's 1533-position model. The record is from RNAcentral.
AGGACGAACGCUGGCGGCGUGCUUAACACAUGCAAGUCGAGCGGAAAGGCCCUUCGGGGUACUCGAGCGGCGAACGGGUGAGUAACACGUGAGCAAUCUGCCCUUAGCUUCGGGAUAGCCCCGGGAAACCGGGAUUAAUACCGAAUACGACCUCGGCCGACAUCGGCUUUGGUGGAAAGUUUUUCGGCUAGGGAUGAACUCGCGGCCUAUCAGCUUGUUGGUGGGGUAAUGGCCUACCAAGGCGACGACGGGUAGCCGGCCUGAGAGGGCGACCGGCCACACUGGGACUGAGACACGGCCCAGACUCCUACGGGAGGCAGCAGUGGGGAAUAUUGCGCAAUGGGCGAAAGCCUGACGCAGCGACGCCGCGUGGGGGAUGAAGGCCUUCGGGUUGUAACCCCUUUCAGCAGGGACGAAGCGAGAGUGACGGUACUGCAGAAGAAGCGCCGGCUAACUACGUGCCAGCAGCCGC